RNAcentral lists this ribosomal RNA (253 nucleotides) under uncultured bacterium. RNAcentral describes it as "partial 16S ribosomal RNA". It matches the Rfam family "Bacterial small subunit ribosomal RNA", at positions 524 to 776 of the family's 1533-position model. The record is from RNAcentral.
UACGUAGGUGGCAAGCGUUGUCCGGAUUUAUUGGGUUUAAAGGGCGCGUAGGCGGCGCGAUAAGUCAAAGGUGAAAUCCCUCGGCUCAACUGAGGAACUGCCUUUGAAACUGUCGUGCUUGAGGCCGGGAGGGGGUAGCGGAAUUCCCAGUGUAGCGGUGAAAUGCGUAGAUAUUGGGAGGAACACCAGUGGCGAAGGCGGCUACCUGGACCGGUUCUGACGCUGAUGCGCGAAAGCGUGGGUAGCAAACAGG